GGGGGUGAACUGGAUUCGACGGGGAUAUAGACCAGAAACUGCAUACCGAGAAUGUCGGGAACCUCGUAAAAUUUCCGGCAAAUUUCAAACGCGAACACUUUAGUAGCGUAACCCGCCUUAGGCGGGUAUGUCCUUCCGGUUUCGCCCGCAGGUCCGGAAAGGGCACAAGAUAUGCGGGAUAGUUCUGCUUUAUGCCUGUGAAAGCGGGGCGAAAACAAAUACAGGUUGGUCUCGUUCUUAUCCCGUCCGCAGGAGUGAGCGGGACGAGAUUAAAUGCGGAAUAAGUAUGUAGACGUUUCUGUUGAGAUAUUUUCGGACGGGGGUUCGAUUCCCCCCACCUCCAUAA
This 346-nucleotide transfer-messenger RNA is filed under the name Candidatus Desantisbacteria bacterium CG1_02_49_89. It matches the Rfam family "transfer-messenger RNA". From Rfam's summary of the family: Bacterial tmRNA, also known as 10Sa RNA or SsrA, is named for its dual tRNA and mRNA-like properties. Its role is to liberate the mRNA from a stalled ribosome. To accomplish this part of the tmRNA is used as a reading frame that ends in a translation stop signal. The record is from RNAcentral. RNAcentral also lists the same sequence under 2 other names. Lineage: Bacteria; Candidatus Desantisiibacteriota.